RNAcentral lists this ribosomal RNA (479 nucleotides) under uncultured bacterium. RNAcentral describes it as "bacterial SSU rRNA". It matches the Rfam family "Bacterial small subunit ribosomal RNA", at positions 30 to 524 of the family's 1533-position model. The record is from RNAcentral.
AUUGAACGCUGGCGGCAUGCCUUACACAUGCAAGUCGAACGGCAGCACGGGGGCAACCCUGGUGGCGAGUGGCGAACGGGUGAGUAACAUAUCGGAACAUACCCUAGAGUGGGGGAUAACGUAGCGAAAGUUACGCUAAUACCGCAUACGAUCUAAGGAUGAAAGUGGGGGGAUCUUCGGACCUCAUGCUCAUGGAGUGGCCGAUAUCUGAUUAGCUAGUUGGUGAGGUAAAGGCUCACCAAGGCGACGAUCAGUAGCUGGUUUGAGAGAACGACCAGCCACACUGGAACUGAGACACGGUCCAGACUCCUACGGAGGCAGCAGUGGGGAAUUUUGGGACAAUGGGGGCAACCCUGAUCCAGCAAUGCCGCGUGAGCGAAGAAGCCCUUUGGGGUGUAAAGGCUCUGUCAGCUGGACGAAUAAAUGACGGUACCAGCAGAGGAGACAUCGGCUAACUACGUGCCAGCAGCCGCGGUAAU